This 301-nucleotide ribosomal RNA is filed under the name uncultured bacterium. Its description in RNAcentral is "partial 16S ribosomal RNA". It matches the Rfam family "Bacterial small subunit ribosomal RNA", at positions 509 to 807 of the family's 1533-position model. The record is from RNAcentral.
CAGUAGCCGCGGUAAUACGUAGGUGGCAAGCGUUGUCCGGAAUUAUUGGGCGUAAAGGGCUCGCAGGCGGUUUCUUAAGUCUGAUGUGAAAGCCCCCGGCUCAACCGGGGAGGGUCAUUGGAAACUGGGAAACUUGAGUGCAGAAGAGGAGGGUGGAAUUCCACGUGUAGCGGUGAAAUGCGUAGAGAUGUGGAGGAACACCAGUGGCGAAGGCGACCCUCUGGUCUGUAACUGACGCUGAGGAGCGAAAGCGUGGGGAGCGAACAGGAUUAGAUACCCCAGUAGUCCCUGUCUCUUAUAC